UACGUAGGUGGCGAGCGUUAUCCGGAAUGACUGGGCGUAAAGGGAGUGUAGGCGGCCAAUUAAGUUAGAUGUGAAAUCCCACGGCUUAACCGUGGAACUGCAUCUAAAACUGGAUGGCUGGAGUGCAGGAGAGGUGAGCGGAAUUCCUAGUGUAGCGGUGGAAUGCGUAGAUAUUAGGAGGAACACCAGAGGCGAAGGCGGCCGCCUGGCCUGUUGCUGACGCUGAGGCACGAAAGCGUGGGGAGCAAAUAGG
RNAcentral lists this ribosomal RNA (253 nucleotides) under uncultured Eubacteriales bacterium. RNAcentral describes it as "uncultured Clostridiales bacterium partial 16S ribosomal RNA". It matches the Rfam family "Bacterial small subunit ribosomal RNA", at positions 524 to 776 of the family's 1533-position model. Lineage: Bacteria; Bacillati; Bacillota; Clostridia; Eubacteriales. The record is from RNAcentral.